Sus scrofa (pig) is the source of this 4328-nucleotide non-coding RNA. NCBI's taxonomy places the organism in Eukaryota, Metazoa, Chordata, Mammalia, Artiodactyla, Suidae. The record is from RefSeq and is a predicted model, not a curated record.
UCCUCAUGGAUACUAGUGGGAUUUGUUUCCACUGCGCCACAACAGGAACUCCCAGUCUCAGUUUUGAGAACAAGGAAACUGAGGCUUAAAUGGUGAGAUGACUCAUCAGAGUCACAGGCAGGAGUGAUGCCCUGAACAUUUAACCCGGAGGGCGGCAGGAUUAUGCCAUCAGGACAGACAGGCUGGUGCCCUGGACUGAUGGGGACCAGCCGAGCAUCAGGGCCAAUCAUCUGGUCAUUCAUGAAACACUUGGGAGCAGCUGCUUUGGGCCUGGGAGGCCUGGGCACCCAGAAAUGGCCCAGACAAGCCUGAAUUAGAAGCUCACUACCCGAGAACUUGGGAUGUGACAUCAGCCUGGGGUUAGAAUCCUCAGUCUAGCUAGAGAGCUUGGGCAAGCAUUCCUGGGACUCUUACAGCCUCAGUUUCCUCAUCUAUAAAAUGGGGAUAAUACUUCUUAUCUCCUCACCAGAUCUCGCUGAGGCUUCAAGAGGGCUAAACAGCCUGGACCAGAAAACUCAUACCAUGGAGAUACAAGUUGUUUGAGGAGUCUUGGCAAGUCUGGGCCUCUCCCAAGUCUGGGGAGGUGGCUGCCCACUGCUGCUGACACUUGUCCCCUGACGCACAGAGGGACACCCUCCAGAGAGCUGGUGCCACAGCACUUAUUCACGUUUCAAAGGGACAGCUUUGCUCCCCACCCCGACAGAGAACAAACAAACGCAACUAACUGGAUUCCAUGGUCAGAUAGCAAAACAUCCACCACCAAGACUGGUUGGCAAAGGCAACAGAGGGCACCUUGUCCCUGAAACACCCCGCCCCUGAGACAGGCCACCUCUGUUGUCAUAGGCACACGGAGUCAACAUGCAACCAAAUCAAAAGAGCCAGCGGUUCUUAGUUUUCACAGGAGCCAUGGUUUUAUAUAUCGUAUAUAUAGAUUCAUAUAAACAUUAUAAUAUAUGUAUGUACACAAAUUAAGUAUGAGCCAGCUUGGGGUUCUGGCAAACGUGGCUCGUGAACGGGACGGAAGCCAACAGCACUUGUCACAAAGCACAGGUGUCAGCACUGAAACUGGAACUGCCUGUGCCUUGGUGAAAUCGCCAUGGAGCUUUUUGGAAAAGAAAGCAAGCUUCACAAAGUGUGAUCCACACCCAGGCCUGGGAGAUGAGGUCGGUCAGGCUGUGGGAAAGGGACCGUCCCUCCAGGUCACCAGGUCAGGGACAACUCCGGAGGCAGAGGGGAAAUGCAACCACUUCUAGAAAAGGCCCCAGAUGGCCUGGUGGUCAGAACUGGAAGGAAGAAGGCCCGAGUGGCUCCAGGCCAACAGGCCGCUUUGCUGUGACCCACGUGUUCAAGCAGGCUCAUUCCAGGAGCUCAGAGGCCGUGCCGCGCAGAGGCGGGCAGAGGCCCAGGGCCGGUCUGGAGGCUUUGGCCUCAGCAUCUCGCUCAGGCUCUGGCCUGGGCAGUGAGGGCGCGGCCCGGCACCAGGGAGGCAGAAGCCAAGGCGGAUACGCUCCUCUACCCGCUGGAAGCGCGUGCUCCUGCAGCACAGCCAGCUCCCCGCUCUCGGAGCUCAGGCGCCCUUGAGCCGAGGCCUGGAACAGGGCAGGAGCUGCAGUGGAUCCCGCCAGGUGAAGGGAUCAACUUAAACCACGUCCCAUAUGGCUCCUGGGGACUCCAGCUGCCUCUGCCUCCUGCAAGUGGCGCUGGGUGACCUCAGGCCCAGCCCCACCCACCCCGGGCUGCAAACCCAGAGGCCACUGUGCUGCCAAGGGCAAGGACCUCCCCUGUGCUCUCUGGGGAGGAGACAUCCAGUGGCUACCCUCAGCUGCAACUUGGUGUCUGUGGGACCACAUCAUGAUGGAAUCUGCAAGCAGAACUUAGCCCAAGGCCUCUGCUCCAGGUCGCCUGGGGCAGUUGCAAGCGACCCUCUAAACCGACCCAAGGGCUCAGGCGAGAUGUGGCCCUGCCACGUGCUCCUUGAGACCUUCACGUCAGAAGAGCCUUCAGCAGCCCUGGCCACUGACCACCCCCCGACCGAUGUCGCUGGGCCAUAAACCCCAACGGGCCCCCCAGCUGGCAAACAGCAGCCUGGGAAGGAGAGUCCCAACUUCCCCCGGGGUCCCAGCUGGGCCGGAUCCAAGCGCCACACCUGCACACCACAGCGGGCCCUUCCCACAGGCCCUCAAAGGUUCUGAGACUGAGAAGAGGCAGCAGCAUCAAGCCCUGGGAAGAGGCUGCAAAGGUCAGGAGGAUCUCAGGGGGUCUGUCUUUCCGUGAUGCGGAAGCCCCAAGGCUGGGGACACGGAGGGCGGGGGUGGAUCGUUCCGUGGUGCCUCCUUGCUGCCCACAACCUCUCUCCUCUCUAUGCUCCCUGACACAGCUGUCCCCACUCUUACUGUCUGCUGGCUGUGGUCACCAGCCGGGGAGAGGCCACCCAUGCCCUUGAGGGUGGCCGGUCCCUUCCUCCCAGCCGUGCAGUUCCAGAGCCUGAAGAAAUCAACCCCGAGCCCCGGGCUCCCACUUCUGGACAAAGCAGAGGAAGGGGUCACAUCCCUGGAACAGUGACUUGCUAUCUGGGCCCUGGACGCCAACAUGUGAGACCCCGAGGGAAGGCCUCGAUCACCUAGGACACGACAUGGCCAGGGGCCCCACCUGGUACGUGACCCCCCGACCUGUCCUGACACAGAUCAGGAUCAGAAUUUUAUCCAGAAAGGUCAAGCAAGCUGUUUUAUUAAAAUACUAGAGGCGGGCAUCAACUUUCAGCAACAUUUUGUAAACACGUGAAAUGCAGAUUGAUUUCAGUAGUUUAUUUUGGAGACAAAGCAGUGCAAGAGGCUGGCCACAUGCCUUCCCGCUUCCCCGGGGCUCGGGUUAGGCUGGGAAAGGCCAUGUCCAGACAUUAUAAUCGGGGUUCAACACUCAAGUCGUGUAAACACGGUGGUCGGCAGGCCCUCGGGUUCUAGGACAGCCGGGCAGUGCCGACGGUGUCCGCCUCUCACGCCAGCCGCUCCUUCCCGGCGUGAUCCCCACGUCCCUGCUGACCAGGCCUGAAGGUGCCUCCGAGUGCCCAGCCCAGCUGCCUACUCCUCUUUCCCAGGGUCAACUGAAAGCUGAAGACACAGACCACGCUCGGGGAUCCCAUGCAUCCCGCCAGGGAGGCGCACUGUCCGAGGACUGGCCGAGCCCCUCACGGGUCCCCUUCUCUGCAAAGGGGGCUGCCGGCCAGCCUGGACCGUGGGAUCCGGCUGGUCAGCCGGUGGUCUGUCUGCUGCCAUCAAGGGUCAGGGUGACUCCAGUGGCGGCUGGGGUAACGUGUCUUCUCCCAUCUGGGCUGCAGCCCCCUUGCACCCAGCUGGCUUGGUGCUCGGGGCUGGCAGUGAACACGGAGGGGUGGAGCGACGGGCAGCCUCCUCCUGCCUGGGAAGAGGGCUCCCAACUGCCUCGAUGCCAAGGGGAGGCUCAUCCAGGUUGACUUCACGGAGAAACAGGCUGAAUUGCAGGACCUGGGCCUCAAGCCUGCCCUGGAGUUCUCUGGUCUUGACGGCCCAGCAACCCCUGGAAUGGUCUGCCCAAAGUCACAGCACAAAGCCUCGGCACAGGCAGGAUCGGCGCAGAGGCUCCUAGGCAGGGAGCCUCCUCCCAGGUCCGGGGAGCAGCAGGGCUUCGUCAGGGAGGCCCCUCUGCCGGCCUGUGUGGGACAGGUGUUGAUGGGCCCAGGGGACUCCAGGGAGCUGGAGAGGCUGCCAAGCCAGGGCAGGGGCCUUGUCCAGGAAGCCGUCUCCUGCAUGUCCAUGAGCAGCCAGGGGGUGGGGCACAGCCCAGGCUCCUGGCAUGGAAUCCCCAAGGACUUGGUAGCUGGGGCCUCACGUCGCCUCUGGCUCACGCUUUUGGGAGGGGCAGCUGCACCCUGGGGCUUUUGGCCGGGCCUGGGGGCUUGGAGAGGAGGGAGACGGGGAACCGUUCGCUUGCUCUGCUCAGCUGCCAACAGCCUGACCAGGGACAGCCUCUUCCGGGGUCCCCAGGGCCUGGUCCACAGCAGCCAUUGAGAAAAACAGACGUGGACGUGCCCAGCCACUCACACACGCACGGCAACCACACACGCACGGCAACCACACACGCACGCCCCACCUCACAUUCAGACCUAGUGUUGAAAACACAAGCGUGUGUAAACUCAGUGAAGAGAGAUCUGCACAGCAGGAAUCAGGCGGGAUUGUCCCUUUUCCUCGAGGCUGGACCGCUUGGGGUGCCUUUCCAUCCCCACCCCCACCCCUCAUUUAGAUCAUGACAUCAGAAAAUCAGGUGAAAAAUUAAAAAAAAAAAAAAAAAAAAAA